Molecule: long non-coding RNA, 802 nt
Organism: Vigna angularis (adzuki bean)
Lineage: Eukaryota; Viridiplantae; Streptophyta; Magnoliopsida; Fabales; Fabaceae
Exons: 4
Source: RefSeq, a predicted model, not a curated record
AAUGUAAUUUCUUGUUGAUUUACUACGACACUUCUUGCUUCCCGCGUCUUACUCUACAGAGUACACAACGCCGAGACACAACGAGAACAGAAAUUUUCGAAUUCUUUGAAUGGCAGAAGCACACUGACACUAAUCGAAGAACCCAUACUAAUAAACCCUAAUCCAUAUUACAGACCUUCUUCUUCUUCUUCUUUAUUCUUUCUUUUCACUUUUCAUUAGUUUUUACGUUCUGCUGUGUGCCACAGGGGACGGAGUUUCAUCGCUGCGGUGCACCGUACGAAGGGUGGAAGCGAGCGAUUACGAUGAAGACGGGAUUCCAUCGGUGGAGUUCUGAUGAUCAAAGAAACGUAAGUGAUGAUGAAUUGGACGGUCUUGAUGAGCGCAAAGUAGGAGUUGUCAUUGAUGAGCAACGAGGUUUUCGUGGCUUGGUCUCUUUCGAAGUUGCCUUGCCGCUUAUACCAAUGUUACCUUAUGGUGGUGUUAUGAUCAUGCUAGCAUGGCACCUGAAGGAUAUGCUCCUCAGUCUCAACUAGGUUCAAGAAAUUGUGGGAAGAUGUAUUUUUGACUUGUUGCACUUGGAAUGUAAUUUUUCCUCCGAUAAAUUGGAAUUUGAGCAAGUAUAUGACAAAGUAACCAGUAUCAGCAGUACAAUUUUUGGCCCCCCAUUUCAUGCAGUACUAUCUGAAGGAUGAUUAUUGCUGUACUCUCUGAAGGAUGUUUAUUUGUACAGAAUCUGAAAGAUACAAAUGUUGUGUUGAAACAAACAAGCUAUAUUUAACGUAUGUUGCUGGUACUUCAGAAA